This is a long non-coding RNA of Rosa chinensis, 1136 nucleotides long. RefSeq lists it as uncharacterized. NCBI's taxonomy places the organism in Eukaryota, Viridiplantae, Streptophyta, Magnoliopsida, Rosales, Rosaceae. The transcript has 5 exons. The record is from RefSeq and is a predicted model, not a curated record.
GCCCUUCAAGCCAAUUCACUCUCUAUAUUCUUCUCUUCCUCCACAGUCACAGACCUCCUCUCUCGAGUGUCAAUGGCGAAGAACGACGCGUCCUUCGGAUCAGUGGGUGAGUUCUUGAAGUGGUGCCAGCAAUCCGGCGAGCCUUCGACGAUCGACAUCUCCAGAGAUCAUAGCCAAACGGGCACAUGAGGCUCUACGAUGAUCUCCUUACCAAUGGGUACUACACGACGCGGCUGUGGAUUGGGACAACACCUCAGAUUGUCGCUCUGAUUGUGGAUACGAGGAGGAGUACAAUCACUUAUGUGCCUUACUCUAACUGUGAACCGUGUGGUAACCAUUAGAGAAAAAGAUUGGAGACUUACAUCAUUGCAAUUGCUGAUAAGUUGGCCUAGGAAUAUUUCUUUGUUGCUGUAAAGGUAUUGAUGGUCAAGCUAACAAGCUGGUUAAUCUCUACGUGGAAUGCGAAUGUCUCAGCAUCACUAAUGUAAACAUCAGCCGUUGUAGAUAGUGCUUGUGAGAUUAGAUAGCCAAAUUGCAGAGCUUCAAAUGUGGCUUAUCUAGGGGUGCUGAUUGUCAUCAAUGAUAGAUGGCGAAAUUAGAAAUGAUAAUUUUGACAUCAAUUGAAGCAUUGGAAGUGAACUCUGAUGCGACGACAUUUAUUUCAAUGCUCAGUUUAUAAUUGUGUUGAUUCAUAAUGACUUAUGCAUAGUGGUGGUAAAUUGCAGUUAAUCUGAAUCAUGAUGGAUCUGGAAGGAAAGCCAAAAGUGACCAAAGGGAGUGUUGAACAUGAAAAGGGCGUCACAUCAUUCCAGUUUCAGAGCCAUAACCACUUUGCAAACGCAUCUGUCGCAAGUGGAAUCUGAAGACGCUGAACCAAAAAUUUCUAAUUACAAUAGCUUGGAUCUCUGCAAAUAUAGAGCUUAUAUAACCAAGAUAUUUGCGGAAUUUAGGCAAUGAUGGAUCUCUGCAAAUUUAGAGUUUUAGAAAUUUGUUUAGGGCUUAGGAUGCAAGUCACUGGCCAAUUGUAAACUCCAGCUUACUGAAUCAAUUAGUUUUUUUGUAUUUUUUUUAUAAUGUCACUGUUAUGUUUAGUUUUCCUUAAUGGAAUAUUAAUUUUAUAGAUCUUUUGCAGCUCA